GAUGAACGCUAGCGGCAGGCUUAACACAUGCAAGUCGAGGGGCAGCACGGGUAGCAAUACCUGGUGGCGACCGGCGCAAGGGUGCGUAACGCGUGAGCAACAUGCCCUAUACAGGGGGAUAAUCCAGGGAAACUUGGUCUAAUAUCCCAUAGUAUUUAGAGGUGGCAUCACCACUAAAUUAAAGCUUCGGUGGUAUAGGAUUGGCUCGCGUGACAUUAGCUGGAUGGUGGGGUAACGGCUCACCAUGGCGAUGAUGUCUAGGGGUUCUGAGAGGAAGACCCCCCCACACUGGUACUGAGACACGGACCAGACUCCUACGGGAGGCAGCAGUGAGGAAUAUUGGUCAAUGGGCGCAAGCCUGAACCAGCCAUCCCGCGUGCAGGAAGACGGCCCUAUGGGUUGUAAACUGCUUUUUCCAGGGAGAGAAACUUACGCACGUGUUGCGUGACUGACGGUACCCUGGGAAUAAGCAUCGGCUAACUCCGUGCCAGC
This 492-nucleotide ribosomal RNA is filed under the name uncultured bacterium. RNAcentral describes it as "bacterial SSU rRNA". It matches the Rfam family "Bacterial small subunit ribosomal RNA", at positions 28 to 512 of the family's 1533-position model. The record is from RNAcentral.